CUGGCGGCAGGCCUAACACAUGCAAGUCGAGCGGUAGCACAGAGAGCUUGCUCUCGGGUGACGAGCGGCGGACGGGUGAGUAAUGUCUGGGAAACUGCCUGAUGGAGGGGGAUAACUACUGGAAACGGUAGCUAAUACCGCAUAAUGUCGCAAGACCAAAGUGGGGGACCUUCGGGCCUCAUGCCAUCAGAUGUGCCCAGAUGGGAUUAGCUAGUAGGUGGGGUAACGGCUCACCUAGGCGACGAUCCCUAGCUGGUCUGAGAGGAUGACCAGCCACACUGGAACUGAGACACGGUCCAGACUCCUACGGGAGGCAGCAGUGGGGAAUAUUGCACAAUGGGCGCAAGCCUGAUGCAGCCAUGCCGCGUGUGUGAAGAAGGCCUUCGGGUUGUAAAGCACUUUCAGCGGGGAGGAAGGCGGUAAGGUUAAUAACCUCAUCGAUUGACGUUACCCGCAGAAGAAGCACCGGCUAACUCCGUGCCAGCAGCCGCGGUAAUACGGAGGGUGCAAGCGUUAAUCGGAAUUACUGGGCGUAAAGCGCACGCAGGCGGUCUGUCAAGUCGGAUGUGAAAUCCCCGGGCUCAACCUGGGAACUGCAUUCGAAACUGGCAGGCUAGAGUCUUGUAGAGGGGGGUAGAAUUCCAGGUGUAGCGGUGAAAUGCGUAGAGAUCUGGAGGAAUACCGGUGGCGAAGGCGGCCCCCUGGACAAAGACUGACGCUCAGGUGCGAAAGCGUGGGGAGCAAACAGGAUUAGAUACCCUGGUAGUCCACGCCGUAAACGAUGUCGAUUUGGAGGUUGUGCCCUUGAGGCGUGGCUUCCGGAGCUAACGCGUUAAAUCGACCGCCUGGGGAGUACGGCCGCAAGGUUAAAACUCAAAUGAAUUGACGGGGGCCCGCACAAGCGGUGGAGCAUGUGGUUUAAUUCGAUGCAACGCGAAGAACCUUACCUGGUCUUGACAUCCACAGAACUUUCCAGAGAUGGAUUGGUGCCUUCGGGAACUGUGAGACAGGUGCUGCAUGGCUGUCGUCAGCUCGUGUUGUGAAAUGUUGGGUUAAGUCCCGCAACGAGCGCAACCCUUAUCCUUUGUUGCCAGCGGUCCGGCCGGGAACUCAAAGGAGACUGCCAGUGAUAAACUGGAGGAAGGUGGGGAUGACGUCAAGUCAUCAUGGCCCUUACGACCAGGGCUACACACGUGCUACAAUGGCAUAUACAAAGAGAAGCGACCUCGCGAGAGCAAGCGGACCUCAUAAAGUAUGUCGUAGUCCGGAUUGGAGUCUGCAACUCGACUCCAUGAAGUCGGAAUCGCUAGUAAUCGUAGAUCAGAAUGCUACGGUGAAUACGUUCCCGGGCCUUGUACACACCGCCCGUCACACCAUGGGAGUGGGUUGCAAAAGAAGUAGGUAGCUUAACCUUCGGGAGGGCGCUUACCACUUUGUGAUUCAUGACUGGGGUGAAGUCGUAACAAGGUAACCGUAGGGGAACCUGCGGCUGGAUC
RNAcentral lists this ribosomal RNA (1496 nucleotides) under Klebsiella sp. ok1_1_9_S14. RNAcentral's name for it is "bacterial SSU rRNA". It matches the Rfam family "Bacterial small subunit ribosomal RNA". Lineage: Bacteria; Pseudomonadati; Pseudomonadota; Gammaproteobacteria; Enterobacterales; Enterobacteriaceae. The record is from RNAcentral.